This 579-nucleotide small RNA is filed under the name Pongo abelii (Sumatran orangutan). RNAcentral's name for it is "retained intron". The record is from RNAcentral. Lineage: Eukaryota; Metazoa; Chordata; Mammalia; Primates; Hominidae.
UCAGUCUCAAGCUCAAGGCAUGAUGGGAAACUCUGAGGGAGAAAUGUGGGCCCCAUGGGACCCUACCCUUUGCCCUCCGCAAUCCAGUUCCCCCUCCAUCCCCAGCCCAGUCCAGCAAGCCCAGCUACACCUACGGUCCUCUCCCCAGGAGCUGGAGCGCCAGGCCUUAGCCAAACACGUCAGGGCAGAGGCCCUGAGCUCCACCCUUCGGCUGGCCCAAGACGAGGCCCUGCGGGCCAAGAACCUACUGCUAACAGACAAGAUGAAGCCGGAGUGAGGAAGGAGGCUGAGGGCGUGGGAGGAGGGUGAGAUCUUGGGGAAAGGGCCUGAUCUCCCCUUCCACUCCAACACCCCAGCACCUAGCCAUGCCGGCAUCAACUCCCCGCUGCCUCAUGACAGGGAGAAGAUGGCCACUCUGGACCAUCUACACUUGAAGAUGUGCUCCCUCCACGAUCAUCUCAGCAACCUGCCACUUGAGGGGUCCACGGGAACAAUGGGGGGAGGCAGCAGUGCAGGAACCCCCCCAAAACAUGGGGGCUCAGCCCCUGAACAAUAAAUAGCCUCUCAUGCUGGCAUGAA